GUCCAGGGUAGCCUAGUGGACAUGGCAUCUGCCCGGUAAGCGGAACACUGUGGGUUUGAUUUAAUCCCUGGACA
Cordylochernes scorpioides is the source of this 74-nucleotide non-coding RNA. The record is from the annotation of a GenBank genome assembly. NCBI's taxonomy places the organism in Eukaryota, Metazoa, Arthropoda, Arachnida, Pseudoscorpiones, Chernetidae.